AGGACGAACGCUGGCGGCGUGCUUAACACAUGCAAGUCGAGCGGAAAGGCCCUUCGGGGUACUCGAGCGGCGAACGGGUGAGUAACACGUGAGUAAUCUGCCCCUAGCUCUGGGAUAGCUCCGGGAAACCGGGAUUAAUACCGGAUACGACCACCUUAGACAUCUUUUGUGGUGGAAAGAAUUUCGGCUAGGGAUGAGCUCGCGGCCUAUCAGCUUGUUGGUGGGGUAACGGCCUACCAAGGCGACGACGGGUAGCCGGCCUGAGAGGGCGACCGGCCACACUGGGACUGAGACACGGCCCAGACUCCUACGGGAGGCAGCAGUGGGGAAUAUUGCGCAAUGGGCGAAAGCCUGACGCAGCGACGCCGCGUGGGGGAUGAAGGCCUUCGGGUUGUAAACCCCUUUCAGCAGGGACGAAGCGAAAGUGACGGUACCUGCAGAAGAAGCGCCGGCUAACUACGUGCCAGCGAGCCGC
Molecule: ribosomal RNA, 475 nt
Filed under: uncultured bacterium
Lineage: Bacteria
Description: SSU rRNA
Rfam family: Bacterial small subunit ribosomal RNA
Source: RNAcentral